Molecule: ribosomal RNA, 253 nt
Filed under: uncultured bacterium
Lineage: Bacteria
Description: partial 16S ribosomal RNA
Rfam family: Bacterial small subunit ribosomal RNA
Source: RNAcentral
UACGGAGGGUGCAAGCGUUAAUCGGAAUCACUGGGCGUAAAGCGCGCGUAGGCGGCUUUUUAAGUCAGAGGUGAAAUCCCACGGCCCACCCGUGGAACUGCCUUUGAUACUGGAAGGCUUGAGUGAGUGAGAGGAUAGUGGAAUUCCUGGUGUAGGAGUGAAAUCCGUAGAGAUCAGGAGGAACAUCAGUGGCGAAGGCGACUAUCUGGCACUAUACUGACGCUGAGGUGCGAAAGCGUGGGUAUCAAACAGG